AGAGUUUGAUUCUGGCUCAGAACGAACACUGGCGGCGUGCUUAAUACAUGCAAGUCGAACGGGAAAGCAUCUUUCGAGGUGUUAGUAUAGUGGCGAACGGGUGAGUAACGCGUUAACAAUCUGCCUUUCAGUUGGGGAUAACCUUACUAACGUGGGGAUAAUACCGAAUGGCAUUUUUCUGUUGCAUGACAGAGAGAUAAAAUGGGCUUCGGUCUCGCUGAGAGAUGAGUUUGCGUUCUAUUAGUUAGUUGGUGAGGUAAUGGCUCACCAAGACGAUGAUAGAUAGCCAGCCUGAGAGGGCGAUCGGCCACAUUGGGACUGAGAUACGGCCCAGACUCCUACGGGAGGCAGCAGUAGGGAAUUUUGCGCAAUGGGCGAAAGUCUGACGCAGCAACGCCGUGUGAGUGAUGAAGGUCUUAGGAUUGUAAAGCUCUGUCAGUAGGGAAGAAUGUACCAAGGUAAUGCUUGUGUAUUGACGGUACCUACAGAGGAAGCUCCGGCUAACUCCGUGCCAGCAGCCGCGGUAAUACGGGGGGAGCUAGUGUUGUUCGGAUUUAUUGGGCGUAAAGAGAACGUACGCGGAAAUUUAAGUCAGAGGUGAAAAUUCGGGGCUCAACCCUGAACCUGCCUUUGGUACUGAAUUUCUUGAGUAUGGAAGAGGAUGAUGGAAUUCCUGGUGUAGCGGUGGAAUGCGUAGAUAUCAGGAGGAACACCAAUAGCGAAGGCAGUCAUCUGGUACAAUACUGACGCUGAGGUUCGAAAGCGUGGGGAGCGAACAGGAUUAGAUACCCUGGUAGUCCACGCCGUAAACGAUGGAUACUAGAUAUUGGAGGCGUUAAUCCCUUCAGUGUCAAAGCUAACGCAUUAAGUAUCCCGCCUGGGGAGUACGGUCGCAAGGCUGAAACUCAAAGAAAUUGACGGGGGCCCGCACAAGCGGUGGAGCAUGUGGUUUAAUUCGAUGAUACGCGAGGAACCUUACCUAGGUUUGACAUGGGGGUGAACGGUGCAGAGAUGUACUUUUUUCUUCGGAGACACCCUACACAGGUGCUGCAUGGUUGUCGUCAGCUCGUGUCGUGAGAUGUUGGGUUAAGUCCCGCAACGAGCGCAACCCCUGUCCUGUGUUACCAGCGGAUAAUGCCGGGGACUCACGGGAAACUGCCUCAUUUUUGAGGAGGAAGGUGGGGACGACGUCAAAUCAUCAUGGCCCUUACGCCUAGGGCUACACACGUGCUACAAUGGCCGGUACAAAGGGUUGCAAUAUCGCGAGAUGGAGCUAAUCUCAAAAAAACCGGUCUCAGUUCGGAUUGGAGUCUGCAAUUCGACUCCAUGAAGUUGGAAUCGCUAGUAAUCGCAGAUCAGCAAUGCUGCGGUGAAUACGUUAUCGGGCCUUGUACACACCGCCCGUCAAGCCAUGAAAGCCGGGAGUACUCGAAGUGGUUGCCUGAACCUUAGGGAGGGCGCUCCUAAAGUAAUACUGGUAAUUGGGGCUAAGUCGUAACAAGGU
This 1504-nucleotide ribosomal RNA is filed under the name metagenome. RNAcentral's name for it is "bacterial SSU rRNA". It matches the Rfam family "Bacterial small subunit ribosomal RNA". The record is from RNAcentral.